This 881-nucleotide long non-coding RNA is filed under the name Citrus maxima (pomelo). RNAcentral's name for it is "long non-coding RNA (CMAX_LNC001875)". The record is from RNAcentral. Lineage: Eukaryota; Viridiplantae; Streptophyta; Magnoliopsida; Sapindales; Rutaceae.
GAAAGUGAAAUAAAUUAAGCAUUCAAACAAACUUGAUUAAUGCCCAUAACUCAUUAAAUUUUGGACAGAAGUGAAACUUGAAUGAAGCUCAUUGGUGGACGAUUGCAUACUAAUAAUUGAGGAGAGCUUUGGUGCAAUCAAGCAGGAAACUUUUUAAGCUGAUUAGCGGAGCUGCUGAAAACGGCUCAGUGGCGCAGCAAUUAGAGAACGGUCUUGUACCCACGCGCCAUAGAAGCGGGUGGAAAAAACUCUAAAAUUCUUCAAAACCAGAGUUUUGAAAGACACCGCCAUGGGCUCAGAGGUCCAACAAUAGUGGCCGGUCUAUUCCAUCACUUUGACUAAACAAGCCACUAAAAUUCGCUUACUUCGUGGCUGCUGAAAGGAAACAUUGGUCAUUUCCACCUUAUUUACCGCCUUUCCAUUAGUGGGAACAAAAUCGUCUCUCUAUACCUUUUCGGUCCACCAUUCAUCUGAAAUCACAACCGUUAAAAAAACAUCGGGAUCAAAGAACCUCUCCGAAUAAUGAAUAUUAAUUGUACCGACAUGCGCGGCGUAGAAUUAUUCUAUCUUAAUUAAGAUUUUCACUUAAAAAUAUAAUUAUAUUAAAUAUUUAUUGAGAAAAUUUUACUGUUUUAAUGAUUGUAUUCAGUUCGAAUCUAAAUUAAUUAAAGCCUAAUAUAAUCUUUAGAUACUAAAUUUAAUAAACAAAAAAAUAAUGAAUCUUAAUUUUACCAUUAUUUGAAGUCAUGGCAGUCUGAUCAUUAUCUCAAACUAAUCGGACGGUGAUGUCUCGUCAGGCGGCCCACUAACAUAAAAGCCGAAAAAGCUUCCAGCACAGCAGCAGAACAGAGAGCGGGUAUACUAACAAGUGUAAUUUCGUC